Molecule: non-coding RNA, 74 nt
Organism: Potamilus streckersoni
Lineage: Eukaryota; Metazoa; Mollusca; Bivalvia; Unionida; Unionidae
Source: the annotation of a GenBank genome assembly
GCUCCAGUGGACUAACUGGUUAAAGCGUUCGCCUCGGAUGCGGGAGGUCGCUAGUUCGAACCCAAGCUGAGUCA